GGGAGCUUGCUCCCUGAUGUUAGCGGCGGACGGGUGAGUAACACGUGGGUAACCUGCCUGUAAGACUGGGAUAACUCCGGGAAACCGGGGCUAAUACCGGAUGCUUGUUUGAACCGCAUGGUUCAAACAUAAAAGGUGGCUUCGGCUACCACUUACAGAUGGACCCGCGGCGCAUUAGCUAGUUGGUGAGGUAAUGGCUCACCAAGGCAACGAUGCGUAGCCGACCUGAGAGGGUGAUCGGCCACACUGGGACUGAGACACGGCCCAGACUCCUACGGGAGGCAGCAGUAGGGAAUCUUCCGCAAUGGACGAAAGUCUGACGGAGCAACGCCGCGUGAGUGAUGAAGGUUUUCGGAUCGUAAAGCUCUGUUGUUAGGGAAGAACAAGUACCGUUCGAAUAGGGCGGUACCUUGACGGUACCUAACCAGAAAGCCACGGCUAACUACGUGCCAGCAGCCGCGGUAAUACGUAGGUGGCAAGCGUUGUCCGGAAUUAUUGGGCGUAAAGGGCUCGCAGGCGGUUUCUUAAGUCUGAUGUGAAAGCCCCCGGCUCAACCGGGGAGGGUCAUUGGAAACUGGGGAACUUGAGUGCAGAAGAGGAGAGUGGAAUUCCACGUGUAGCGGUGAAAUGCGUAGAGAUGUGGAGGAACACCAGUGGCGAAGGCGACUCUCUGGUCUGUAACUGACGCUGAGGAGCGAAAGCGUGGGGAGCGAACAGGAUUAGAUACCCUGGUAGUCCACGCCGUAAACGAUGAGUGCUAAGUGUUAGGGGGUUUCCGCCCCUUAGUGCUGCAGCUAACGCAUUAAGCACUCCGCCU
RNAcentral lists this ribosomal RNA (817 nucleotides) under Bacillus sp. (in: firmicutes). RNAcentral's name for it is "bacterial SSU rRNA". It matches the Rfam family "Bacterial small subunit ribosomal RNA", at positions 74 to 874 of the family's 1533-position model. The record is from RNAcentral. Lineage: Bacteria; Bacillati; Bacillota; Bacilli; Caryophanales; Bacillaceae.